UCCAUCGUAUCCACCCCAGUGAGGAAGGACAAGCUUGGGGGAGAUCCUCUCCCCCACCAAGGUAAGUAUUCUAUCCUAUUUAUUUCCAUGCAUUUUAUCAUUCUUGCUCUAAAAAAAAUUAGCAUUUCCCUUUAGCAUAUAUGCUUCAUGUAUGUCUAUAUCCCUCAUGGAAAUGAUGACUAGUUGCUUGUUAAUGUUUCUCUAGUACCUAGUAUACAACUUAGUAUUUCUCCAAGUAUGGAUCACUUAGCUCACUUAAACUGCCAUGAACCUGAAAACUUUGUGGGUUGCAAGUGCUAGAACUAAGUCUAAGUUGUUGUGGGACAUGAGAUAGUGAGACAAGAGCUGCUAUAAUAUUAUUCUAAGCAUGCAUGAUUAUCAGAGAUUUAUUCUUAAAAUGAUCAAACCCUUAAUUGUUCCUCAAUGGUGAUGAAUUCCUACCACAGCUAUAUCUACUUUACAUGAUUGCAACCUUUCCACAUAAGCUAUUUGCUUUGUGUUGAGUGUCGUCAAGUCUUGUUGACCCCUGUUAAGAGACUUUUCAUGCUCCUAAGAUCAAGAUCACGUACACACCACAUAUAUAUAUGCUGCUUCUACACUGGAAGUACGCAACCACAUGUAUUUCGCAUCCACUAAAUAGGUUGCUCCAUACUCUAAAUGUUAGAAUAUCUCUCUCUAAGCAUUAUUUGGUAAAUGAGACAUCAAAAGCCUAGGCAAAAUGAAAUAAAAAGAUGGACAUGUGCAAGUCCACAAAAAAAAAUUGAGCACAUAAAGCUCGAAGAAAAAGAAAAUGCUAGCCAUGUCUCAAUAUACAAGUAGAGAGAGUGUAGCAAAUAAAGGAGCAACCUAGUCCACCAUAUAUCACACUUGCACAUC
RNAcentral lists this long non-coding RNA (876 nucleotides) under Sorghum bicolor (sorghum). RNAcentral describes it as "long non-coding RNA (SBIC_LNC013797)". The record is from RNAcentral. Lineage: Eukaryota; Viridiplantae; Streptophyta; Magnoliopsida; Poales; Poaceae.